RNAcentral lists this ribosomal RNA (477 nucleotides) under uncultured organism. RNAcentral describes it as "partial 16S ribosomal RNA". It matches the Rfam family "Bacterial small subunit ribosomal RNA", at positions 330 to 798 of the family's 1533-position model. The record is from RNAcentral.
CGUACACUCCUGCGGGAGGCAGCAGUGGGGAAUAUUGCACAAUGGGCGCAAGCCUGGUGCAGCCAUGCCGCGUGUAUGAAGAAGGCCUUCGGGUUGUAAAGUACUUUCAGCGGGGAGGAAGGCGAUAAGGUUAAUAACCUUGUCGAUUGACGUUACCCGCAGAAGAAGCACCGGCUAACUCCGUGCCAGCAGCCGCGGUAAUACGGAGGGUGCAAGCGUUAAUCGGAAUUACUGGGCGUAAAGCGCACGCAGGCGGUCUGUCAAGUCGGAUGUGAAAUCCCCGGGCUCAACCUGGGAACUGCAUUCGAAACUGGCAGGCUAGAGUCUUGUAGAGGGGGGUAGAAUUCCAGGUGUAGCGGUGAAAUGCGUAGAGAUCUGGAGGAAUACCGGUGGCGAAGGCGGCCCCCUGGACAAAGACUGACGCUCAGGUGCGAAAGCGUGGGGAGCAAACAGGAUUAGAAACCCCAGUAGUCCCAU